CUACAAAGGAAUUGACGGGGGCCCGCACAAGCGGUGGAGCAUGUGGUUAAUUCGAAGCAACGCGAAGAACCUUACCAGGUCUUGACAUCCCGAUGCUAUUUCUAGAGAUAGAAAGUUACUUCGGUACAUCGGUGACAGGUGGUGCAUGGUUGUCGUCAGCUCGUGUCGUGAGAUGUUGGGUUAAGUCCCGCAACGAGCGCAACCCCUAUUGUUAGUUGCCAUCAUUCAGUUGGGCACUCUAGCGAGACUGCCGGUAAUAAACCGGAGGAAGGUGGGGAUGACGUCAAAUCAUCAUGCCCCUUAUGACCUGGGCUACACACGUGCUACAAUGGUUGGUACAACGAGUUGCGAGUCGGUGACGGCGAGCUAAUCUCUUAAAGCCAAUCUCAGUUCGGAUUGUAGGCUGCAACUCGCCUACGUGAAGUCGGAAUCGCUAGUAAUCGCGGAUCAGCACGCCGCGGUGAAUACGUUCCCGGGCCUU
RNAcentral lists this ribosomal RNA (481 nucleotides) under uncultured Streptococcus sp. RNAcentral describes it as "bacterial SSU rRNA". It matches the Rfam family "Bacterial small subunit ribosomal RNA", at positions 903 to 1382 of the family's 1533-position model. The record is from RNAcentral. Lineage: Bacteria; Bacillati; Bacillota; Bacilli; Lactobacillales; Streptococcaceae.